This 919-nucleotide small RNA is filed under the name Pan troglodytes (chimpanzee). RNAcentral describes it as "processed transcript". The record is from RNAcentral. Lineage: Eukaryota; Metazoa; Chordata; Mammalia; Primates; Hominidae.
GUUUUGUACACUGUGCUAGGUUCCUAUAAAUGUUUAUCUUACUGACCAGUUGAACAUUUCUAUGAAUAUAAGCCACGGAGUUUUUUUCUUGCUUUUUCCCUGACUCUUACCUGUUUUCAUAGGUUCUCUUUGUAAAGAAUCCUUUUCUGGUCAAGUUUCUUCUUCAUCACUCAUGCCACUUACUCCAUUCUGGACCCUCCUUCAGUCAAAUGUUCCUGUGCUUCAACCUCCAUUACCCUUGGAAAUGCCACCACCCCCACCUCCACCUCCAGAAUCACCUCCACCCCCUCCUCCACCACCUCCUCCUGCGGAAGAUGGUGAGAUCCAGGAGGUAGAGAUGGAGGAUGAGGGAAGUGAGGAGCCCCCUGCCCCAGGAACAGAGGAAGACACCCCUUUGAAACCUUCAGCACAAACCACAGUUGUAACUAGCCAGAGUUCAGUUGAUUCCACCAUCUCUAGUUCUUCUUCCACUAAAGGAAUAAAGAGGAAAGCUACAGAAAUUAGCACUGCAGUGGUUCAGAGGUCAGCUACCAUUGGCAGUUCUCCAGUUCUCUAUAGCCAGUCAGCUAUAGCUACAGGUCACCAGGCAGCAGGGAUUGGAAACCAGGCAACAGGAAUUGGACAUCAGACAAUACCAGUUAGCCUUCCAGCAGCAGGAAUGGGUCAUCAGGCCAGAGGAAUGAGCCUGCAGUCAAAUUACCUUGGACUAGCGGCAGCACCUGCAAUUAUGAGUUAUGCAGAAUGUUCUGUCCCAAUUGGAGUGACUGCUCCCUCAUUGCAGCCAGUUCAGGCCCGAGGUGCUGUGCCUACCGCUACCAUUAUAGAACCACCACCACCACCUCCUCCUCCUCCUCCUCCACCACCACCAGCUCCCAAAAUGCCACCACCUGAAAAGACAAAAAAAGGAAAGAAAGACAAG